This 253-nucleotide ribosomal RNA is filed under the name uncultured bacterium. RNAcentral describes it as "partial 16S ribosomal RNA". It matches the Rfam family "Bacterial small subunit ribosomal RNA", at positions 524 to 776 of the family's 1533-position model. The record is from RNAcentral.
UACGGGGGGAGCGAACGUUGUUCGGAAUCAUUGGGCGUAAAGCGCGCGUAGGCGGCCCGGUAAGUCAGUGGUGAAAGCCUCCAGCUCAACUGGAGAACUGCCAUUGAUACUGUCGGGCUUGAGUACAGACGAGGUUGGCGGAAUUGAUUGUGUAGCGGUGAAAUGCAUAGAUACAAUCAAGAACUCCGAUUGCGUAGGCAGCUAACUAGGCUGUAACUGACGCUGAGGCACGAAAGCGUGGGGAGCGAACAGG